GAGUGUGUCUGUCUGUUCUCUGUGUGCGUGUGUCUGUGUUUGUGUGUGUGAGUAUUCAGCUGUUUCUCCAUGGUACCGUACAGGCAUGUGUGUUCUUUGUACCAGGCCAACAUCAGCUGUUACCUUUCCUACCUCUCCUUUUGUGUCCAUCUAAAUCUGUUUGCGCAAAACAGAAGGUCAGGCAAACAAAAACAGCCACCAUCUUUCCACAUACAUCCUUCUUUCUAAGGUCUCUUUCACCUCCCACCAUCUUUCCACAUACAUCCUUCUUUCUAAGGUCUCUUUCACCUCCCACCAUCUUUCCACAUACAUCCUUCUUUCUAAGGUCUCUUUCACCUCCCACCAUCUUUCCACAUACAUCCUUCUUUCUAAGGUCUCUUUCACCUCCCACCAUCUUUCCACAUACAUCCUUCUUUCUAAGGUCUCUUUCACCUCCCACCAUCUUUCCAAAUACAUCCUUCUUUCUAAGGUCUCUUUCACCUCCCACCAUCUUUCCACAUACAUCCUUCUUUCUAAGGUCUCUUUCACCUCCCACCAUCUUUCCACAUACAUCCUUCUUUCUAAGGUCUCUUUCACCUCCCACCAUCUUUCCACAUACAUCCUUCUUUCUAAGGUCUCUUUCACCUCCCACCAUCUUUCCACAUACAUCCUUCUUUCUAAGGUCUCUUUCACCUCCCACCAUCUUUCCACAUACAUCCUUCUUUCUAAGGUCUCUUUCAC
Long non-coding RNA from Oncorhynchus keta (chum salmon), 720 nucleotides. RefSeq lists it as uncharacterized. The transcript has 3 exons. NCBI's taxonomy places the organism in Eukaryota, Metazoa, Chordata, Actinopteri, Salmoniformes, Salmonidae. The record is from RefSeq and is a predicted model, not a curated record.